This 19-nucleotide unclassified non-coding RNA is filed under the name Mus musculus (house mouse). RNAcentral describes it as "oocyte_clustered_small_RNA4649". The record is from RNAcentral. Lineage: Eukaryota; Metazoa; Chordata; Mammalia; Rodentia; Muridae.
UCAUCAUGACCCUAUUAAA